CCUACGGGAGGCAGCAGUGGGGAAUAUUGGACAAUGGGGGCAACCCUGAUCCAGCAAUGCCGCGUGUGUGAAGAAGGCCUUCGGGUUGUAAAGCACUUUCGGUGGGGACGAAAAUUGUCCGGCUAAUAUCCGGAUACUUGACGGUACCCAAAGAAGAAGCACCGGCUAACUCUGUGCCAGCAGCCGCGGUAAUACAGAGGGUGCAAGCGUUAAUCGGAAUUACUGGGCGUAAAGCGUGCGUAGGUGGUUCGCUAAGUCAGAUGUGAAAGCCCUGGGCUUAACCUAGGAACUGCAUUUGAUACUGGCAAGCUAGAGUUUGGUAGAGGGAAGUGGAAUUCCAGGUGUAGCGGUGAAAUGCGUAGAUAUCUGGAGGAACACCAAUGGCGAAGGCAGCUUCCUGGACUAAAACUGACACUGAGGCACGAAAGCGUGGGUAGCAAACAGGAUUAGAUACCCUGGUAGUCCACGCCGUAAACGAUGGGUACUAGACGUUAGGGAGUUUAAUCUCUCUAGUGUCGCAGCUAACGCAAUAAGUACCCCGCCUGGGGAGUACGGCCGCAAGGUUAAAACUCAAAGGAAUUGACGG
This 586-nucleotide ribosomal RNA is filed under the name uncultured bacterium. RNAcentral's name for it is "bacterial SSU rRNA". It matches the Rfam family "Bacterial small subunit ribosomal RNA", at positions 338 to 916 of the family's 1533-position model. The record is from RNAcentral.